This 431-nucleotide ribosomal RNA is filed under the name uncultured bacterium. RNAcentral describes it as "partial 16S ribosomal RNA". It matches the Rfam family "Bacterial small subunit ribosomal RNA", at positions 29 to 507 of the family's 1533-position model. The record is from RNAcentral.
AACGAACGCUGGCGGCAGGCUUAACACAUGCAAGUCGAACGCCCCGCAAGGGGAGUGGCAGACGGGUGAGUAACGCGUGGGAACAUACCCUUUCCUGCGGAAUAGCUCCGGGAAACUGGAAUUAAUACCGCAUACGCCCUACGGGGGAAAGAUUUAUCGGGGAAGGAUUGGCCCGCGUUGGAUUAGCUAGUUGGUGGGGUAAAGGCCUACCAAGGCGACGAUCCAUAGCUGGUCUGAGAGGAUGAUCAGCCACAUUGGGACUGAGACACGGCCCAAACUCCUACGGGAGGGAGCAGUGGGGAAUAUUGGACAAUGGGGGCAAGGCUGAUCCAGCCAUGCCGGGUGAGUGAUGAAGGCCGUAGGGUUGUAAAGCUCUUUCACCGAUGAAGAUAAUGACGGUAGUCGGAGAAGAAGCCCCGGCUAACUUCGUG